Molecule: ribosomal RNA, 821 nt
Filed under: uncultured organism
Description: bacterial SSU rRNA
Rfam family: Bacterial small subunit ribosomal RNA
Source: RNAcentral
CUGUGCCAGCAGGAGCGGUAAUACAGAGGCCUCAAGCGUUAUCCGGAUUCACUGGGCGUAAAGGGUGCGUAGGCGGUUAUAUUAGUCGGGUGUAAAAUCCUAGGGCUCAACCUUAGGCUCGCGUUCGAAACGGUAUAACUAGGAGUAGUGAGAGGUGAACAGAACUCACGGUGUAGGGGUGAAAUCCGUUGAUAUCGUGGGGAAUACCAAAUGCGAAGGCAGUUCACUGGCGCUUACUCGACGCUGAGGCACGAAAGCGUGGGUAGCGAACGGGAUUAGAUACCCCGGUAGUCCACGCCCUAAACGCUGUCCGCUGGCUUUAGGGAGAAUCGACCCUCCCUGAGGCGAAGGUAACCCGUUAAGCGGACCGCCUGGGUAGUACGAGCGCAAGCUUAAAACUCAAAGGAAUAGACGGGGGCUCGCACAAGCGGUGGAUCAUGAGGCUUAAUUCGUCGAUAAGCGAAAAACCUUACCCAGGCUAGAAACCAUACUGCACGCUCUCCGAAAGGAGAGAAUCCUUCGAGGGUGUAUGGCAGGUGAUGCAUGGCCGUCGUCAGUUCGUGGCUUGAGCUGUUCCCUUAAGUGGGGAAACGAACGCAACCCUCGUUGCCUGUUACAAGUGUCAGGCGAGACUGCUCCCUCACGGGAGAGGAAGGUGAGGAUGACGCCAGGUCAGCAUGUCCCUUGAUGCCUGGGGCUGCACUCGUGAUACAAUGGGAUGUACAAAGGGACGCAAUACAGUAAUGUGGAGCAAAUCCUGAUAAAACAUUCCUCAGUUCGGAUUGAGGGCUGCAACUCGCCCUCAUGAAGCCGGAAUCGCU